Molecule: long non-coding RNA, 2561 nt
Organism: Rattus norvegicus (Norway rat)
Lineage: Eukaryota; Metazoa; Chordata; Mammalia; Rodentia; Muridae
Source: RefSeq, a predicted model, not a curated record
UUGUUGAAUAAUGUGGAAAGAAACCUGUUUGCAGGAGGUAGCUGGAGAGGCUCCAUGAACAAGGGACAGGGUUGACUUGGAAUGUUUCCAUUUAGAGAGAGCGAAAAGAAAAACUCAUAGCAGACUUGAAGAAGAAAAAAACAAUAUUAAGAAAGAGGGAAAAUAUCAGUGGAGACCCUUGGGCUAGAGGAAAAGUGAGCUCUUGCUGUAAGCCCAUAGCUGUGACUAACCUGUUCCUAAUUCCAGGCUCUCUUGCAGCUAGGGUGGUGUGUGUCUUUCUUUUGUUGUUAGUGAAUUUCCUUAGCUAUGCCUGAAUGCUACAGCUGAGCAUGGUAAAUUAUAAAGAAGUUAUUUCUCUCUCGGUCCUGGAAGCUCCGGAAUUCUUUGAGGACCUUGUACUAUGACGUAACAUGAGAGUCAGCAGUGUGUAACCUCAGGUCUCUGACUCUCCUAAAGCCACUAACACCAUCAUGGAGGCCCCAUCUUCAUGACUUCACCUCCCAAAGGCCCUACAGAGUCAUGUGGAUUAGAAGUGUAAGUGAGCGUGUUGUUUUCAUUUAAAAUACUAUGUGCACGUCAUGCUUAAGUGCAGGUGCCUGUGGAUUUCUUGGAACUGGCGUUAGAGGAGGUUGUAAGAUGCCAAAAGUGGGUGUUGAGAAUUGAAUUGGGGCUCUUCUGUAAGAGCAAUAGACACUCUUAACUGUUGAGCCAUCUCUCCAGUUCCGAAGUGUGUUUUUAAAAUCGUAAAUGCAGCAUGAAGUCCACAGGAAAAAGUUAAAAUGAAAGGAAAGACACCUCUUGUUCCCUUAGUUCCAUCUCUACAGAGUAGCCACAAAUAAUUGUUUGAAGAGGAGCACCCAGGCCUUCCUGUGUCCUCCAAGGUUGGUCCCCAGUGUGCAUGCUUGACAAGACCAUGAUUCUCUCAUCCUGAGAGCUCAUCUUCUUCCCUCCAAGCAUGGAUGGGCAGAUAACAAAAGGAAAACAAGGGGAGCUCAUUCACCCCACAAGAGUAACAACUUAAACGCGGAAGCAGGAAAGUUCAAGCAGGAAAGUAAAAGAUCUAAAACCCUCAGCAGCAGCAGGAUGUCAACCAAGAAGAUGCUGGUAUCUUAGCUCCAUUUUCCCAGGAUGCUUUGGGGGCACACCCGGAAGUCAGAAUGCAGAUCACAGACUAGACGGAGCAGCAGAUCUCCUGUCAGUUGGGUCUUGAAGGCCGGAGACAGCUGCAGGAACAGAUUCCCAUCUGCAGCCAAACUGAAGUCUGGGAGGCUGCGGCAGGAACAAGUUCACCUCCCUGAAGUUGCUCUUGAGCCUUAGAGGCUGGAGCAGUGGAAGCCUGAGUUCCCUCAUUUGCCUAGGACAGGUCACCUUGUGAUGCCAUGUGCUGCGGUAGGCUGUAGGGAGGGAGUAGUGUGCUGUUGGGACUUCGUCUCCAAUACUGUAAGUCAGUUUGCUGGAGCUGAACUAAGGAGUUUGCUCCUCCAAAAGAGCUGAGAGGCCACUGUGCAGCCGGAGCUACCUCUGCUGAACUGUCGCUUCAGAUAAACCUUGAUCUUACUGAAGUCAAUACAGUCAUGAAGAGGUUCUCUUUUCUCCCUCUGCUUCUUGCUUUGACCGACCCCUUUCCUGAAGCAGUGAAGAUGGAGCUCUUUGUCUCAAAGCCCGGAGUCCUUGUGGCUUUCAGGAUGGAAAAGAGUGUUCCGUACACGUCCCUGGAGCGUCCUGCUUCUGGGUGGAUUCUGGAUGGAGCCCCUGUUGUUGCCUUCUGUACACAGCAGUCUUCCCACUGCCCACCUUUGAAACCCCGGUCCACCCUACUUGAUUUGGCAUACAUCUGCCUCCCCCCCCCACACACCCCCAAGGCUGUGGAUCCCAGGAACUCAAAUUCCAGGAAAGUUCAAGUUAUGGUUACAUUUUAAGAGCAUUUAAGUUUUAGAGAAAACAGAAACAAACUUAGUUUGACCUUGAAACAAAAUGGCUACUAAGCUUAAGAUGGAUUCAGUCUGGUUCAUUGUACACCAUCCCCCAAAAUGGGGUAUUAAUGAAAAUGAUGUUUUCUGCAAGGAACAGAAAAUCCUUAAACAAUACUGCUUUUAGAAGACAGACCACACCUUGGUAGGCAGAGGCAGAGGGAAUCUCUGAGUUUAAGACACUCUGGUCUACAGAGGGAGUUCCAGGACAGCCAGGACCACACAGGACUACACAGAGAAACAGUGUCAAGAAACAAACAAAAGUCAUUUAUUUGAGAAAUGCAGAGCUGGACCGGUCAUGGGAGCUCCAAAAUGGAGCUCCCCUGAUCACCAAUAUACAACUUACCCCCACUAUAUGACUGGGGAACUCAAGCCUAGGAGGCAAAGAAUGGCUUACUGACAGCUGUCAAUCAAAACAGCAGCAGCUGAAAAACCUCAGCUGAAGGAAACUGAUGGUCACAGCACCGGGUGCGAAAGCAGCAAGCCUUCACAGUUACCAUAGCAACUGAGAAUCUGCAGAGGUAACAGUAUGACAGUUCUUUUCUGAUUAUUCCUAAGUCUCUCCUUAUCUGUGUGCUCACAUUCAGCCAA